CACCGCGGUUAUACGAAAGACCCUAGUUGAUGGGAGCGGCGUAAAGGGUGGUUAAGGAACUAACAUUAAUAAAGCCAAAGACCCUCCAGGCCGUCAUACGCUCUCUGAGGAUACGAAACCCAUAUACGAAAGUAGCUUUAAUUAUAACACCUGACCCCACGAAAGCUAAGAAA
Molecule: ribosomal RNA, 173 nt
Filed under: Bagrichthys sp. CBM:ZF:12508
Lineage: Eukaryota; Metazoa; Chordata; Actinopteri; Siluriformes; Bagridae
Description: partial 12S rRNA
Source: RNAcentral